Molecule: long non-coding RNA, 5131 nt
Filed under: Macaca mulatta (Rhesus monkey)
Lineage: Eukaryota; Metazoa; Chordata; Mammalia; Primates; Cercopithecidae
Description: lncRNA (ENSMMUG00000049982.1)
Source: RNAcentral
GAAAGCGUUCAUAAUUUCAUCACAGAAGAGCAUUUUCCAGUGGUGCUCACAGAUUGCCUGUAAAAAAUAAUUCCUCCCUUGUAGACAGGCUUCUAUCUCAUGCCCUCGGCUUGCCGCUGGUUUAUCUGUGCAGGGAGAGACACCCAAAGGUGACCGUGAGCCCACUGUGUCUUUCAGAACCCAGAGUGAGUUACUGCAAACCUCAGGCCAUUGAAGUGACUAUUGGCUAGCUCAAAAGGCUGUGAAGAUGACCACCGUAUCUAUCCGAAUAAGUUUUUUCUUCUUUCUCAGUCUUGAAAUCAGGCAUGGUUAUUUUUAUUUUUGGUGUAUGCAGACUUAACCUAUGUGCCUAUAUUCACAAUGAACUCUUGAAUCGGGUCCUCCGUGUUUUUCUGGGGGGGGCAUUGAUUCCCCACUUGACCUGCUUUGUUGCUCAAAACUUUGUCGCUCAUCAUUGCUUUCCUGUCUGUUUAUUCUUGGUGUGGGGUUGUCAGGGAGAAAUGUUGGAAGGGAGAGAAGGGAGCAGGCAUCAUAGAUGGUAUUACGGGCUGCUGGUCUCUCCUCUCUCAGCCAACUAUGAGAUCUAUUUGGGAUUGAAGGAGAUAAGCCACAGCAAGUCGUUACUCGUCCUGAAUGCACACCCUUCUUUCUUUGAGCAAGAGGACAAACCUGGGUUAAGCUUGCCUGGCCCAAGCCACAGAGUCCUGGGAAGGAUGGAAGAGAGAGGAAGGGAGAGCACCGACGUCAUGGACCACCUUUCACAUCAGUGGCAGCAGCAGUAAAAUCCCCAGAAAGCCUGGAGUGGGCGUGAGGGUCUCUUUAGAUCAGCCCUGGAGGCAGCCGCCCAUGUCCCUCCUGGACAUUUGUUCACCUUCACAGAACCCACUUCUUUCCCGUGGUCUGUUCGGAUGUCUGUUUCCUGCACCAGGCAGGUAGCACAGCACACUCAGGGGUUUCUCUGACUCACCUUGGUAGCCCCAGCCCUCAGCACACUGCCUACCACUUAGUAUUUAGAGGACGUAUGCUCUUUGAAAAAAGUAGGUAAAUGGUAAAAUAUUAUUUUUACCAUUGGAACAAACACAAAUAUAUGCUUGAUGACAUUCAAACAGUACAAAUGCAAGAAAAAAAAGGCUUGUUAGGUGCAAAUAUUGGAAGAAAAGAGCUUGGGGUCAGAAGUGACCCCAGACAGAUGUGCUGGGAAAGAAGGGCUUUGCAGGGACCUCAGUGGCACAUAGGACCUAGACCCAGAGAUGGGGCCUUCUUGACAGGACGCCUCUGUCCGAGGGCAUUGGUUUUGCUCAUGUCUCUGUAACAUAUUUUAAAAAGGAUGCAAAGAAACCCCAACUUUUCUGGAAAAAGUGGAAAAAUAAUGAAGAGUGGUUGACCAGAAGGCUUAGGGCACUGGGCUGUGUUGCUGGAGAGUAAGAACCACUUGCCCUGCUACAAACCAAACUGGCUUUGAUCGUCUGCCCUUCUCUGUAGAGGACUGAGGAAGAGGAAAUAAGAAUUACAUGAAGAGCUUCCUAGCGAGCUUCCGGAAGAAAAUCUUAGUCCCCUACCCUGGGGAAUUUCGCCAAACAAGGGCAGAAAGUGGAUAAACAACAGGACGGUAGAGUAUCCCUUAUUCAUGGUGCUCGGGACCAGAAGAGUUUUGGAUUAUGGAUUUUUUGGAACAUUUCAGAUUUUCACAGCUUCAGGUACAGGGACGGGUUGAUGACAACCCCGCUCUGUCCCGUGAUUUGUGACAGACAUCUGUUUUCUUCCUUAUUCCAAUUGUAUCAUCUUGGAUUUUGGAAUAUUUGGAUUAUACUUAUCAGUUGAGCAUCACAAAUUCGAAAAUCCAAAAUCUGAAAUGCUCCAAAUAAGGAUUUCCUUUCAGCAUCAUGCUGGUGUUCAACAAGUUUGAAAUUUUGGAGCAUUUCAGAUGUCAGAUUUUCAGACUUGGGGUGCUCAACCUGUACAGGUUAUUCAGGCUCCUGAAUUCUGUGAUUGCUUUUUUUUUCUAGAGCAAAGUUCCAUAAAGAGCAGAUGGAGAAGUGUUGAUUAGCGAUCAAUUUCUUAGUUGAUAUUUAUCAGACACUUAACUCUGUGUCAGGUAUUGUUCUAAGGGCUUGUAAAAGCAUCAACUCAAUUUAUCCAGGCCUCAUACUGCCUACUCCAGCACGCACUGUUAUAUUAUUAGCUCAUUUUAUAGAUGAGGAGCCUGAGGAAUAGCAGUGUUGAAUCACUUGCCUGACAUUGUGUUUCUUGGGUACAAUUGUAGGUAUUAGACAGGGUUCUGAAACAGGGCAAGGAUGCAGUUGAAAUAAAGAAAGAAACAGAUGCCCGUCACAAGUCACUGGAUAGAGCUGAGCUUCUGUCAACACAACUUAAGUGUGUGCAUCUGGUACCUGUCAAGUUAGAGAAAUUGGUUGUUGUGCAACACGACCCCAUAAUCAAAAUAUUGUAUCAGAGUCCCUACUGGUAGCAGAUAUACAAACUUCUCUUGUCUCUUGUUCAAGAUGAAUUGUCUCCUAGCUUAUUCGAUUCAGUUUAGAGAUCAUGUGGUUCCAUGGACAGUCUCUGUUGGUGUUUCUUCUGGGGAAGUGCCUGCCUUGGUCCUGGACUUGAUACCACUAAAGCUGAUAAUGAGAACUGAGUAGGGUUCUAUUAGGUGAGAGCAAGGGUUCAGAUGGGAGCAUGCUAGGAAGCCCCCAUCUCUUCCAACACUUGCCUCAUCCAGCCUCAGCUGGAGUUGCAGAUGCACCUGCUGAUGCCACUCAAGCACCACCAGGUGUGGCCUGCAAGGCCCUGUCAGGGUUGGCUCUCGUUCCUGUCUUGCCAUCAUCGUCACACAGCCAUGCCCUGUGUUCAUCUGGCAGUGGCAGGCUGGCUGCAUUUCCAGGCUCAGCUAUGUCUCCUUUUGCCUCAUAGCCUCUGCGUGCAUGUGCUCCUGCCUGGAAUUUUCUUGCCCUGGUUAUUCCUGUGGCUGGCUCCCUGCCAUCCUCCGCUCUAUUCAGGUGUCACCUUCCUAGAGGUGCCUUUCCUUACAGCCCCUGAGUGAUGGCCUUUCCUCCCCAAGUCACACUCUACAUUUGCUUUAUUUUCUUCUUACCUUUUAUUGCAAUUUGAAAUUGUCAAGUUCACUGAUUUACUUGUUUAUGGUUUGUCACCUUUCACUAAAAUGUAGGCUCCAUGAAGGCAGAGCCUUACCUCUCCUAUUUACUGGUCUAUCUUCAAGCCCAGGAAUGGUAUUUUAUCAAUAAAUAUUUAAUGAAUUGACAGAUGAAUUGGUGAUGAAGGUUCUAGUUAAAAAACAAAAAAGGAAAGUGGUAUUUUGGUUAAAAAAAAAAAACAAAAACCUCUGAUUUGUAGCGUUGGCCAAUUUCCAUGGUGUAAAUAUUCUUAUCAUAGCCAUUAGUAGUUUCAAAUUUACACCACAGAAAUCAGACAACCCUAGAGUAUGCAUUAUUUUCUCUUUGUAUUAACAGUUGGGGCCUAUUAAACUAGCAGAUUUAGGCAAAAUGGUGAUGUGAGUUUAUCCAGGCUGGUGAGGAGUUAGAAGUUAAAGAUCAAUAGCCAGAUAUGAUGGAACAUGCUUGUCAUCCCAGCUACUUGGGAGGCUGAGGCACGAGAAUCGCUUGAGCCUGGGGGUAGAGGUUGCAGUGAGCUGAGAUGGUGCCACUGCACUCCAGCCUGGGUGACAGAGCAAGACUCCUUUCUGAAAAAUAAAUGAAAUGAAAUAAAUAAAUAGAAUAAAAAAUAAGUUAAAGAUCAAGAAUCGUCAAGAAAAACCAGUGUAAAGCAUUUCCUGUCAGGCUUUCUGUAAGCAUUUCAUGUAGAUGAUGUCUUCCAAUCUUCCCAAGACUCUAGGAGUGAGAUAUUAUCAUGCUCAUCUUACAGGUGAGUUACUGAGAUUCACAGAGGCUAGUAACAUGCAUAUCUUCACAUGGUUGGUUAGGAAUGAUACUGGGAUCUCUUUGGAAGCCUUGAUACUGGUCCAGUUGAUGAAAUACUCCCGGGUCUACCCAUAUUUAUAACAUUUUUAUGAGACCUAGAGGCUACAGGAGGCCUUCCUCCAACCUCCCUGGUAAAGCUAUGUGAUUUCAUUCCAUGCUCCAAUUCCAGGGUCCAUGAAAUUUCAGCUGGGAGGCAAAGUUCAUCCUGUUAGGCCACAGAGCGUGGUGGGAUGGUGGGUAGGUUUGGAAAUGCUGGGGUUGUGCUGUCUAGGUUUUAAGGUGAUUUCCCAUUUACAAGCUGGGUGGUGUUAGGUGAGAUUCUCAAUGGCUUGGCAGCCUCAGUUUUCUCAUUAGUUAUAUUAAGAUCAUAUUGGCUUCUCCCUCCUAGGAUUGGUGUGAGGAUGACAGAUGUGAUUGCGUAUAAAGUGAAUAGCAGUGCCUGUCCUAGACUAACUGCUCAAUACAUCUAAGCUAUUAUUUUUUUUAGAGAACAUGCUUUAUAGCUUUAUUGUGUUUUGGGGCUUUCAUCCUAACUGUAUUCUUUCUUCAAAACAAAAAAGUUGCCAAAUAAUUUUUUUUUUUCAUUUUUUUGUUUUGCAUCAAUAAACCUCAAGUGAACCUCUUUUCUUUUCAUAUAAACCAAGACCAAUCUCAGAGACAAACACCACUGUGGGAUACGCGUCACCAUCCAAAAGGAUUUAGAUCAUUUGGAAACUCUUUGGAAAGCUCUGUUGGAAAUACUGAGAUGUUGUGGGGCUGUCACUUUAACCCCUGAUUCUCAAGAGAAUCCGUGUGGGGAGUGUCCCUUCUAUGGAUUUGCAGUGGGUAGGGCCAUUACGUGGUCAGCAUAUCCGUUCUUCCUACAUUGCAAAACACAAGAUGCUCCUGUUAUCUCCGUCCUACCAGUGAAGAAGCAGAGGCUUGGUGAAGCAAUUUGCUCAAGAUUUCAUGACUGCACAGUAAAGGAAGAGCUGUGAUGUGAGAUCACGUGAAGCCCAUGCUUAGACCCAAGGCCCACAGUACAGAGCCUCUCUGUGAGAUAAAUGCUUGCUAGGUGCUUAAAAGGCUGAGGGAUUCAUGUGUUUGCCAGAUCUCUCUUUAGGUCCCAUGUCCAAUCCCAGAAAUAUGCAUUACUCUCUAGUGAUACCUUUUGUUGUUUGUUUUUAGUGGGUAAAGGAUUUUUUUUAAAAUAA